UUUAGUUUCAAUAGUUCUAGAAGAAAGUUCAAAAUACUUGCCACUAGGGGGCAGUGGUCUCUUUAAGAGACACAGGAAGUGGCAACAGGCAGCCAUGUUGGUAGGAUCCAUAGGAGGCAUUUAACAAACAGAACAGCCAUUGUACAACUCUGUCUGUUUACAUCAGCAAACAUCGGAAUUGUGCUAGACGGAGCGUCGUCGGUUUUCCUUUACCUGAUGUGAACGGUCACUCUGCACCAAACCGACGUCCUGCUGGAGUUUCUCUUCACGUCUCAGACAUGACGAAGAGCUCAAUUUUCAAAAGUCAGCGUCCUCUCAGCCGCGGUGAACUCUGGCUCCUCACUGCGACGUCACCCCGGCUGCUUUUCCUCUCUCCUGAGUUCAGCGUUUCUUCGACAGCGGCGUCCCGACACGCCGCGGAGGGCCAGGCAUCAAACAGCCCUCAGCCCCUCCGAGUGUUUCCCCCGGAGUCAUUUCCAUACAAGACAAAGCCCUCGGCUCCCCUCUCCUCUGUACUACAAGAAUAGAGAGCAGUCGAACAAAGGGGAAAACAAGUAAACAAACAAAAUGAUGUAUGAAUGUCACCGCGAUAAGAAGGAAGAAGGAGUAGUGCAUGUAUGUAAAUUAAAAUGAAUCCCUCUUUUUCCCCCCACUUAUGUCUCUGGUGUUCGGGACUGGAGGGAGCAGCGGGACAAGAGACGGUGUAGGUGGGCGAGAAGCGGACGAUCCCCCUGUCAGGCCACACCCCCUGGUCCCACGUCCGGUUGCAGAAGAGCCAACAUGGCGCUGGUCAACACGCAGAACUCGAUGCUUCAAAACGGCAGCUCACAGGCCAAACAGGCGACGUCACGGGCAGCUUCUGGAGAAAACCUCAGAAAAACUGCUCACAGACAUGAAAUUGACAUCUUGGUCAGCUGACUGCCGAAGCGCCGAACAUUACAAAAAGGUAAUAUCCGUUUCCCUCUGUUUACUUCACCGUUCUCUCUCUCUCUCUCUCUCCCUGGAAAGAAAAGCAGUGCUGCUCGCUGCGCUCUGCUGGGACAGUUUGGGUGAGGCUUGGUGGGACGCUGGUGAGCGAGCGCCAUCAAUAAUGCAGAAUGUUUCCGUGGCAAUUGCCUGGCAACCAGCGGUCGCAUCCUCUGUGUGUGUGUGUGUGUGUGUGUGUGUGUGUGUGUGUGUGUGUGUGUGUGUGUGUGUGUGUGUGUGUGUGUGUGUGUGUGUGUGUGUGUGUGUGUGUGUGUGUGUGUGUGUGUGUGUGUGUGUGUGUGUGUGUGUGUGUGUGUGUGUGUGUGUGUGUGUGUCUGUCUGUCUGUCUGUCUGUCUGUCUGUCUGUCUGUCUGUCUGUCUGUCUGUCUGUCUGUCUGUCUGUCUGUCUGUCUGUCUGUCUGUCUGUCUGUCUGUCUGUCUGUCUGUCUGUCUGUCUGUCUGUCUGUCUGUCUGUCUGUCUGUCUGUCUGUCUGUCUGUCUGUCUGUCUGUUGUGUGUGUGUGUGUGUGUGUGUGUGUGUGUGUGUGUGUGUUAAAGGAGGGAAUGAGUGUGAGAGAGGUAAGAAAAAUAAAUGGAGUGAGGGGGGAAAGGGGAAUGAGAGGGAGGCUGUAAGAGAAAGUAGGAAGUAGAGGAAGUUAAAAUAAAAGAUGAGGUACAGUUUCCUAUAGAUUACUGUACCUGUGCAUCAAGCAGCGCAACUGCUCAUAAUCCAAAUGAACAACAUACUGUAAAUGCACACACACACGCAACAGCAGCAGCAACGAGCCAGGAUGUAUUGAUGUGUGUUUGUUUUGUUUUUGUGUUCUCCACUAUAUUAUGAACUUGACAUCACCUUUGCGUAUCUGCCUUGUGUAUCUGCCUUGUGUGUGUGUGUGUGUGUGUGUGUGUGUGUGUGUGUAUUAAAUGUAACGAUCACAUUCCCUCAAGACUGAAAGUGAAAUUGCCAUUUCAGAUCAGUUGAUAGAAACAGAUCUGUAAAAUCAACAGGUGGUGGUUCAGUUGCCGGUAGGCCGGCCUACAGGAUACACGCUGGGGCUGUGUGUGUGUGUGUGUGUGUGUGUGUGUGUGUGUGUGUGUGUGUGUGUGUGUGUGUGUGUGUGUGUGUGUGUGUGUGUGUGUGUGUGUGUGUGUGUGUGUGUGUGUGUGUGUGUGUGUGUGUGUGUGUGUGUGUGUGUGUGUGUGUGUGUGUGUGUGUGUGUGUGUGUCCGGCAGGUCCCGUUAGAGAUUCUCUGUGUUUAAAACAUUCAUCGCUCCCCUUCUCCCCUCAUUUGUACCAGUGAAUUAUUAAACGCUCACCUAUUUUUCAAUUAUUCAAAUG
Molecule: long non-coding RNA, 2304 nt
Filed under: Scophthalmus maximus (turbot)
Lineage: Eukaryota; Metazoa; Chordata; Actinopteri; Pleuronectiformes; Scophthalmidae
Description: lncRNA (ENSSMAG00000028939.1)
Source: RNAcentral